GACGAACGCUGGCGGCGUGCUUAACACAUGCAAGUCGAACGCUGAAGCUUGGUGCUUGCACUGGGUGGAUGAGUGGCGAACGGGUGAGUAAUACGUGAGUAACCUGCCCUUGACUCUGGGAUAAGCCUGGGAAACUGGGUCUAAUACUGGAUACGACAUGUCACCGCAUGGUGGCGUGUGGAAAGGGUUUUACUGGUUUUGGAUGGGCUCACGGCCUAUCAGCUUGUUGGUGGGGUAAUGGCUCACCAAGGCGACGACGGGUAGCCGGCCUGAGAGGGUGACCGGCGACACUGGGACUGAGACACGGCCCAGACUCCUACGGGAGGCAGCAGUGGGGAAUAUUGCACAAUGGGCGAAAGCCUGAUGCAGCGACGCCGCGUGAGGGAUGACGGCCUUCGGGUUGUAAACCUCUUUCAGCACGGAAGAAGCGAAAGUGACGGUACGUGCAGAAGAAGCGCCGGCUAACUACGUG
Molecule: ribosomal RNA, 472 nt
Filed under: uncultured bacterium
Lineage: Bacteria
Description: partial 16S ribosomal RNA
Rfam family: Bacterial small subunit ribosomal RNA
Source: RNAcentral